UGCGGGAUGGAGGAGUUUGGUACCUCGUUGGGCUCAUAACCCGAAGACCGCCGGUUCGAGUCCGGCUCCCGCUACCA
Molecule: transfer RNA, 77 nt
Filed under: Acidobacteriota bacterium
Lineage: Bacteria; Pseudomonadati; Acidobacteriota
Description: Acidobacteria bacterium tRNA-Met
Rfam family: tRNA
About the family: Transfer RNA (tRNA) molecules are approximately 80 nucleotides in length. Their secondary structure includes four short double-helical elements and three loops (D, anti-codon, and T loops).
Source: RNAcentral